GACGAACGCUGGCGGCGUGCUUAACACAUGCAAGUCGAACGCUGAACCCGCUUCGGUGGGGGAUGAGUGGCGAACGGGUGAGUAACACGUGGGCAACCUGCCCCCGGCUCUGGGAUAACUCCAAGAAAUUGGGGCUAGUACCGGAUGUGACCGCUGGCCGCAUGGUCUGGUGGUGGAAAGGGUUUCCGGCUGGGGAUGGGCCCGCGGCCUAUCAGCUUGUUGGUGGGGUAGUGGCCUACCAAGGCGACGACGGGUAGCCGGCCUGAGAGGGUGACCGGCCACACUGGGACUGAGACACGGCCCAGACUCCUACGGGAGGCAGCAGUGGGGAAUAUUGCGCAAUGGGCGGAAGCCUGACGCAGCGACGCCGCGUGGGGGAUGACGGCCUUCGGGUUGUAAACCUCUUUCAGCAGGGACGAAGCGCAAGUGACGGUACCUGCAGAAGAAGCACCGGCCAACUACGUG
Molecule: ribosomal RNA, 465 nt
Filed under: uncultured bacterium
Lineage: Bacteria
Description: partial 16S ribosomal RNA
Rfam family: Bacterial small subunit ribosomal RNA
Source: RNAcentral